UCUCCAAUAGCUCAGCUGGUUAGAGCGAUUGACUGUUAAUCAAUAGGUCGACGGUUCAAAUCCGUCUUGGAGAG
RNAcentral lists this transfer RNA (74 nucleotides) under Tsukubamonas globosa. RNAcentral describes it as "tRNA-Asn". It matches the Rfam family "tRNA". Rfam says of the family: Transfer RNA (tRNA) molecules are approximately 80 nucleotides in length. Their secondary structure includes four short double-helical elements and three loops (D, anti-codon, and T loops). Lineage: Eukaryota; Tsukubea; Tsukubamonadida; Tsukubamonadidae. The record is from RNAcentral.